GGGCGCGUAGCUCAGCGGGAGAGCACACCCUUCACACGGGUGUGGUCGCAGGUUCAAUCCCUGCCGCGCCCACCA
Molecule: transfer RNA, 75 nt
Filed under: Methylobacteriaceae bacterium
Lineage: Bacteria; Pseudomonadati; Pseudomonadota; Alphaproteobacteria; Hyphomicrobiales; Methylobacteriaceae
Description: tRNA-Val
Rfam family: tRNA
About the family: Transfer RNA (tRNA) molecules are approximately 80 nucleotides in length. Their secondary structure includes four short double-helical elements and three loops (D, anti-codon, and T loops). Further hydrogen bonds mediate the characteristic L-shaped molecular structure. tRNAs have two regions of fundamental functional importance: the anti-codon, which is responsible for specific mRNA codon recognition, and the 3' end, to which the tRNAs corresponding amino acid is attached (by aminoacyl-tRNA synthetases). tRNAs cope with the degeneracy of the genetic code in two manners: having more than one tRNA (with a specific anti-codon) for a particular amino acid; and 'wobble' base-pairing, i.e. permitting non-standard base-pairing at the 3rd anti-codon position.
Source: RNAcentral